This 336-nucleotide ribosomal RNA is filed under the name uncultured bacterium. RNAcentral describes it as "bacterial SSU rRNA". It matches the Rfam family "Bacterial small subunit ribosomal RNA", at positions 30 to 367 of the family's 1533-position model. The record is from RNAcentral.
AUUGAACGCUGGCGGCAUGCCUUACACAUGCAAGUCGAACGGCAGCACGGGAGCAAUCCUGGUGGCGAGUGGCGAACGGGUGAGUAAUAUAUCGGAACGUGCCCAGUCGUGGGGAUAACGUAGCGAAAGCUACGCUAAUACCGCAUACGAUCUAUGGAUGAAAGCGGGGGAUCGCAAGACCUCGCGCGAUUGGAGCGGCCGAUAUCAGAUUAGGUAGUUGGUGAGGUAAAGGCUCACCAAGCCAACGAUCUGUAGCUGGUCUGAGAGGACGACCAGCCACACUGGAACUGAGACACGGUCCAGACUCCUACGGGAGGCAGCAGUGGGGAAGUUUUU